GGAAGUAAAAGUCGUAACAAGGUCUCCGUUGGUGAACCAGCGGAGGGAUCAUUACCGAGUUUACAACUCCCAAACCCCUGUGAACAUACCACUUGUUGCCUCGGCGGAUCAGCCCGCUCCCGGUAAAACGGGACGGCCCGCCAGAGGACCCCUAAACUCUGUUUCUAUAUGUAACUUCUGAGUAAAACCAUAAAUAAAUCAAAACUUUCAACAACGGAUCUCUUGGUUCUGGCAUCGAUGAAGAACGCAGCAAAAUGCGAUAAGUAAUGUGAAUUGCAGAAUUCAGUGAAUCAUCGAAUCUUUGAACGCACAUUGCGCCCGCCAGUAUUCUGGCGGGCAUGCCUGUUCGAGCGUCAUUUCAACCCUCAAGCCCUCGGGUUUGGUGUUGGGGAUCGGCGAGCCCUUGCGGCAAGCCGGCCCCGAAAUCUAGUGGCGGUCUCGCUGCAGCCUCCAUUGCGUAGUAGUAAAACCCUCGCAACUGGAACGCGGCGCGGCCAAGCCGUUAAACCCCCAACUUCUGAAUGUUGACCUCGGAUCAGGUAGGAAUACCCGCUGAACUUAAGCAUAUCAAUAAGCGGAGGA
This 582-nucleotide ribosomal RNA is filed under the name Fusarium sp. M09. RNAcentral's name for it is "eukaryotic LSU rRNA". The stretch from base 203 to 356 matches the Rfam family "5.8S ribosomal RNA". The record is from RNAcentral. RNAcentral also lists the same sequence under 1 other name. Lineage: Eukaryota; Fungi; Ascomycota; Sordariomycetes; Hypocreales; Nectriaceae.